UACGUAGGAGGCAAGCGUUGUCCGGAGUUACUGGGCGUAAAGCGCACGCAGGCGGUCCUAUUAGUCUGGGGUGACAGUUCCCGGCUUAACCGGAAAAGGACUCUGGAAACUGUAGGACUUGAGGGCUUCAGAGGGAUGUGGAAUUCCCGGUGUAGCGGUGAAAUGCGCAGAUAUCGGGAAGAACACCCGUGGCGAAGGCGGCUCUCUGGGACGGUACUGACGCUGAGACGCGAAAGCGUGGGGAGCGAACAGG
Molecule: ribosomal RNA, 253 nt
Filed under: uncultured bacterium
Lineage: Bacteria
Description: partial 16S ribosomal RNA
Rfam family: Bacterial small subunit ribosomal RNA
Source: RNAcentral